UACGUAGGGUGCGAGCGUUGUCCGGAAUUAUUGGGCGUAAAGAGCUCGUAGGCGGUCUGUCGCGUCUGCUGUGAAAACCCGAGGCUCAACCUCGGGCCUGCAGUGGGUACGGGCAGACUAGAGUGCGGUAGGGGAGAAUGGAACUCCUGGUGUAGCGGUGGAAUGCGCAGAUAUCAGGAAGAACACCGAUGGCGAAGGCAGUUCUCUGGGCCGUAACUGACGCUGGAGGAGCGAAAGCGUGGGGAGCGAACAGGA
RNAcentral lists this ribosomal RNA (255 nucleotides) under uncultured bacterium. RNAcentral describes it as "partial 16S ribosomal RNA". It matches the Rfam family "Bacterial small subunit ribosomal RNA", at positions 524 to 777 of the family's 1533-position model. The record is from RNAcentral.